ACAACCAAGUUCAAGGAGUUAGAAAGGGGAACUUCUGAGUUUGGAGGCCAGGAUCGUCACUAUUACACUUUUUCCCCUGGCAACAGAGUAUAGGCUCUUUCCACCUCAAAGUCUUGGAGCAGAGCUUUAAAAGGUAGGUGGGAUUCCAAAUGGCAGAGACAUGAAGGAGAAGAAAGUGGGAAAUGACCAAGCCGUGUGCUCUGCCAUGCAUUUGCUGUUAAUAUUUGCAGUGCAGUAUUCCCGUCAACACAGAGCCAGUAUCUUUUGCAAUACUAAAGAAAAGAAAAAAAGAAAGAAAGAAGAACUAGAAAGAAAAGAAAAGCAUGCUCAGAGUGCCCUGUGAGACUCACAAACGUUCUGCUGAAGGAAAAGCUAUCCAAGGCAGAAUUUGUCGAAAUUAAAAUUAACAACAAAAGGAAAAACUUUGAGAUCUAUUCCUAGCUGAGAUAUUGAACAGUCAACAACACUUAAAUUUGACUUUGAUUUUUUUAAAAGAAUGUAUGUUGUUUUGAAUAGAUAUACUUAACCAACUUUUGCAAGCUUCAGAGGAAGCUAAAAUUACGUUAAUCGCUUCCUCAUUUUGAAUAGACUCCAUUCUGUGGAAUUCCAAAAGUAUCUGUCACCAAAUUUACCUGUGUUACAUGAACGCUGUAUAUUUUACACAGUAAAGAACCCCAAAUACCAGAAAAUACCUGCAAACAUUUGAGUGGCCAACUAAGCACUCUCUAAAAUGGGUUUAAUUUCUAGUUACUCAUGGGCAUCUGGAACACACCCUAAGCAGGUCAUUGGUUUUGGUUUGGGUUUUCAUCCAAGAUAUGUAAAUUUUCCAGUGAAACUCUUCUUAAUUGGUUGAUGUGUUUUGAGCACCAUGGUGCAUCUCCUAGGGAGCAAAGAUAGUUUGUUUCUUUGACCUUAUACCAGGGAUUGAAAAGGCACAUGUACAGGGAACUGAAAUUGGCAUCUUAGGGGAUCCCACUAAGCUCCAAGUACUUCACUGGCCUUUUAUAUCCCCACAUCUCCGUGAUCCAAAUGUCAGCACUUGGAAAAGCAGGUAGAGGACUCAUUUGUUCCAGCAGUAUGGUCCUUCCAAGGCCAACAACUAACCACUUGGUUCACUGGCUGGAGGGAGAGAGGAACGGUGGGGACAAAGCCACAUGUAUGGACAAAUGGAUAUGAAGAACAUGUUUCCAGUGUUCCACAAUACACAAAUGAAAAGAUGAAGAGAGAAGAGGAGCAGAGGCUGUGAGUGUGGAGGGAAAAGAGUGAGAGGGGGAGGGGAAGGUGAGGAAUGAGGAGUUUCAUGUGAAUACCUUACACAAUGGCAGUGCUCCAAGCUGAUCGUGGUGACAGCUGCUCAAAUCUUUGAUCAUACCAAGAACUGUUAAUUGUAAUUUUAAGUGGGUGAACUCUAUCAUGUCUGAGUUAUAGCUCAAUGAAGGGAUUCUUAGAAAUAAAAAUGUAAAAUCCUACUAUAGACUAACAAAUCAGUGAAAUAAUUUUGUUAGUUUUAACCUCUAUAUGGUAAAACACUUGCUCAAGUUCUCUCCAAAUGGAAUUUGUUGAUUCAGAAGAAACACUCCCUGUGUUGUCCCCAUUUGAAAUAAUCCCAAUAAUUAAUUCCAAAUUAUCAAUAAGAUUAAACCAGCAUGGGGUUUAAUCUUCCUC
Molecule: long non-coding RNA, 1665 nt
Filed under: Mus musculus (house mouse)
Lineage: Eukaryota; Metazoa; Chordata; Mammalia; Rodentia; Muridae
Description: long non-coding RNA chr5:41281235-41282900
Source: RNAcentral